Long non-coding RNA from Harpia harpyja (harpy eagle), 1958 nucleotides. RefSeq lists it as uncharacterized. The record is from RefSeq and is a predicted model, not a curated record. The transcript has 3 exons. Lineage: Eukaryota; Metazoa; Chordata; Aves; Accipitriformes; Accipitridae.
GUGACACGAAGUACGAGGGCCCCGGUGACUGCUCAAACGGGGAACCGGCUCCAAAUAGAAUGGCUGUGGGGAGGGAAGAGUCCUGUGGGUGAGGACGUCUGGAGGGCAGGGAAGAGCGAUGAGCUUUAACGUUUCAAGAACCGCAAAAACGCCGGGUGCUCCUACGCGGCAUCUUCUGCACCCAAAGACAACGCGUGGCCCCCAGCCAGGCCUGGGUGACGGGGCGUCAGCCCAGAACCGUUGCAAGCACAUGGCCUUCUGGUGGGAUUCCUCCCGGGAUAAAGGGCUCUUCCACUCUCACACGGCACCUUUCUUCUGAGACAAUGAACAACAAAACCAGGUGAUGGUAAAUUUCUGUUUCUUAAAUGAGGGAAGUCCCAGGAAAUCAGAAAAAUGGAGGUGGGAGAUAAUUUUUUUGAGAGAGUCGCUUUAAAUACAUAUUGUCCACAGCGGUAUCCUCUGCUUAUGCUUUGAGUUGUCACUGCCAUCACUCAGCUGGUAAGAGACGGAACCACACCUUCAAACCUGCUCCGCGCAGUUGCGAUGAUUACUCCCUCCGGGAGGAAAAGGCAGGAGCUGUUUCUCUGAAAAAGCACAGGGGGAAGAGGCAGUGGACUAAGGGCAAGAGGACUUCCGGCACGGCAUUUUUCAUAUAUAAUAGCCCAAAAAAGCUGUGGGUGAUCUUGCCGUUUUAUUAUGGGAUUAUAAUCUCCCAUAAAUUAUAGCAGAACAUCUUAAAAAGUGUUGCAGAGAACAGAGUGAGAACCUGAGCAACUGACUUCUGUUGAAAAUGCACAUAAGACAAAACACUUUACAAGAACUAUCAAGAGCAGUGGUAAUUUUUUUCACCUGCUAUCACUUGGAUUCAUGGUGCUUCUUCUCAAUAUUGGGCACCAAUUAAAAAAACCCAAAUGAAUUCUUAGUGGGAGAGGUUUAGCAACUUUUCACUCUGACAGGAAAUAGUGACACUAUUUUCCAAGAAGUGAUCAAACAGGAAAGCUACCAGGAAAUGGAGAGGCACCAUCCAGUCACAAGACCAAGAACUACAGACUACUGAGUUCAGCGCUUGGUGGCUGAAUCGCGGCUGUCUCAUGCAAAGGGACCACUUACCCACCUCACAAGGACAACAGCAGCUCCUGAUGUAGGCUGUCCUCCCUGUCCUACACGGAACUGCCACAGGCUAUCGCUCUGCGUGUUACAGUGCUAUCAAUUCACCUUCAUAUACUCACAAUAUUCACAACAGAACUGGCAAAAUCCAGCUGCUGCCUCAGAGCAGUCAAGCCAUCCCUGCAGUGGAAGGAAGAACUUCCCACAGCAAGGACAGAUGGAGGGGCAGAGGAGGGAUCGGCACAGCCAUCCCAGCGCAAGCCAUUCCCGCUUGUCAGGAAUCUUCAAUCUCUCGGGACCUAAAUUUCAGUGAGUUCACCUCCCAUUGAGUUCAGCUUUCAGUAAAGCAGAACAACAGCUCAAGUUUAAAAAGGGGGCACGUAACAAAGAUCCACAGUUUCUCUGAGGACAAAAGGGACAAGAACUUUUAUACAGCUCACCUCAAGUACCUUCAAUUUUUUGAACAAUUACAAAUUCGAUGAAGACAUUCACAAUGAAGAGCACAGACCAACGAGUAAGCCAGCAUUUGUGCAUCCUUGCUUCUCUCAUGGAAAACUGGGGUUUGGCGGGCUGGACAAAGAGUGGGAAGGAAAACCUGGAAGCAUGAAAACAGAAAGGAGUAAAGUUUGGGUGUAACCACAGAAGUGGAGUGUGUAAGGUCUCUUCCAUGCUGGAUGCCCUUGAAUCCCACUGAAUGUGCUCAUUAGCUCGAGGCCAAAAUAAAGAAAUGCAGCUUCCCAGAACACUUGCUGUGGAUUUGUUAUUCUCAGCAACACCCUGAAUAGCAAACUUCAGUUCCUUACCAAUGUGAUAUAAUAGCGCUCCCUAAUAAAUACUGACACUGGCUUUCA